ACAACUUUCAGCAACGGAUCUCUUGGCUCUCGCAUCGAUGAAGAACGCAGCGAAAUGCGAUAAGUAAUGUGAAUUGCAGAAUUCAGUGAAUCAUCGAAUCUUUGAACGCACCUUGCGCUCUUUGGUAUUCCGAAGAGCAUGCCUGUUUGAGUGUCAUU
This 158-nucleotide ribosomal RNA is filed under the name Coprinopsis sp. 'igarashii'. RNAcentral's name for it is "5.8S ribosomal RNA". It matches the Rfam family "5.8S ribosomal RNA". From Rfam's summary of the family: 5.8S ribosomal RNA (5.8S rRNA) is a component of the large subunit of the eukaryotic ribosome. It is transcribed by RNA polymerase I as part of the 45S precursor that also contains 18S and 28S rRNA. Functionally, it is thought that 5.8S rRNA may be involved in ribosome translocation. Lineage: Eukaryota; Fungi; Basidiomycota; Agaricomycetes; Agaricales; Psathyrellaceae. The record is from RNAcentral.